CCAGUACCACGGAGUGUGACCAGGAUGACCCUGGUAAAUCAGCCAGAGAGUUUUCAGUUGUCAAAGCAGAAGAGAAGCCAGGUGGCAUCAGUGUAACCUGGACUUUGCAGGGCCUGGUGAUGAUAUCUCAGGUAGGAGCCAUUUGCUACCCCUCCAGCUGUUGCCCCCCUCCCCCUUGCCUUCGUGUCUUUCCAGAUGUUAGAGAAAUUCCUGCUCUUGGUGGGCAGCCAGGGAGUCACAAAGGCCUGGUUUGAACCUCAGAUCCCAGCUCUGCCACUUACCAUCUGGGUAACUUGGACAAGUGUCAUCAACCUCUUGGACCUUGUUUUUUGGUUUUGUUUGUUUGUUUGUUUGUUUGUUUUCCCUCUCUUCUCUAAAAUGCAGGUAAAUGAUCAUAACCAACUCCUCGGUAACAUCCGAUGAUGCCAUGCACAUAAAAGGCCUGGCCACGGGCUUAGAAUAGGGCCCACGUACAGUUAACCUAGUUCCCUUCCCUCUACACCUUAUGAAGCCCCAUCUCCCACUCUUGUUUAGUAAUGGGAUACUUGAGAUUUGCAGGGAAGGGGUGGGAUGGGAACCUCCCAGGAUCUCCCUGUUCUGGUCUCUGGCCCUGAUGCCAUCCAUGCAUGAGAAUUGGGCACAUCUGAUCACUGCUCAGCCUCAAGAGAAGGAUAGAUGGACAGACUACCAAUAUGUUACACUUCACUCAUGCCAAGGGUUCACCCUACUCUGCACUGCCUGCUUCUUUGACAUACCCAUAUGCAAGGAAUUAAGAAAAAAACCAAACAGAAUGGGCAGGAAAAAGCAACAGCCAGAGGCCAAAGUGAACAAGGAAAGUGUGGCAAAUUGUUCCCCAGCUCACCUAUGAGGGACUGAAUUGGCAUAUCAAAGCCACUCGGGCUCCUAAAGCACAAAUACUGAGGCGAGCUGGGGUCCAGCAGCCCAGGAGCCUCACGGCAUCAUCCACUCAGAUAUGAAGGGCAUAAAGGGCCCACCCUCUCACAGUUUGGGACCAAUCAGUGUCUCACCUGUUCCAGCCCUCAGAAUAAUCGGUGUUCAGCAGGAUUAACAGCAAGUGCACACUCUGCAUAAAUCACAGGAGAUAAAAUAUCUUAUCAGGGUCCCUUAGUUGCUGAUGAGAGGCAACGAAGGGUAUUUGGAAUCCCUGCUGUGCCGCGCUUGGUCAUCUUUCCGAAAUUCCUGAAUUUGCUGGCCAACACCUCUGUCCACAACCGAUUUCUGGAAAAGUGAGGGACCUGGUUGCAUCACCUAUGAUAUUAGAGUAAAUAAAAGCAAUCAAGAUUAUGUUCAUGGAGCCAGUGGAUAAAACACUUGCACUCAGAUCCUGGGGAAUCCUGGAUAUAUGCCAAGGUUCCAUUUCAUUUGUAAAAUUUGCUGAUUUGUUCGUUCACUUAAAGAUUUCUAGAACCGGGCACUGUGCUAGGCACCUGAUAUACCAAGAUUCAUCCACGUAUUCAACAAACACUUGAGUGCCUGUUAUUUGCCGGGCACUGUUCUCGGUAUCAGAGACACGGUGCUAAACAAAACAGUCUCUAUCCUCAGUGACAAGUGAACCAUAGAAAUGCAUGGAAAGUUGAUGGUGACACACUGGUGGCAUUUAGUGCUGUGAAAAGAAAUAAAGCAGGUAGGAGAGGAGGGCUUAAUGGAGGAGGUUCUCUCGGACAGUGAUUACGGGGGACCUCUCUGAGGUGGGGACAUUUGAGCAGGGACCACAAGGAAGUAAGGGAGCAAGCCACGUAUAUACCCAGGGGAAGAGCUUUCCUGGCAGAGGGGAGAUGAUUCAAAAGUCCCAGGGAGAGAACAGCUUGGCAUGUUCGAGAAGACGCAAAGAGGCAAAUGGAGCUGGAGUGAACAAGGGGGAGGGUGGUACAGGUGAAAUUAGAGAGAAAGGGCCAGCCAGCCAAGGACUUUGGGUUUUUUCUAAGUGUGAAGGGAAGCCAGCAGGCCUGCAGGCUUGUGGUAGAGGAGUGGCAUGUGGUUGUUUACAUUGUUAUAAAGGAUCAUUGGCUGCUUCGUGGCAGGUCCCCUGUUGGACGGCAGUCUGGCAACAUGGAUCCAGUCAGGUGCUGUCACGCGGAACAGGUGGGAGAAGGUGGCGGUUUAGCUAGAGUGAUUGGGGGCAAGGGGUGAGCAGCGGUCAGAUUUGGGAGAUAUUUAAAGAAUGACGGUAAGAUUCAGUCCCUGCUCUCAAGGAAUUCACAGGAAAAUCAAGAGAGAAUGAAAGCCACUAUAAUGUAAUGGGAAACAGGCAAUAAGGGAAAGACAGGCUGGGUUGAGCAGCACCUUCAGGGGGGUUGGGGAAGGCGUUGGAGAAGGUGACAUUUGAGCCGUGUUUGGAGAAGUGAAAUUCCACCAGAUGUAAAAGGAAGGUCAUUGCAGGCAGGGGGAACAGCUUACGUGAAGCCUUGGGAGCAUGAGGCUGCACGGUGUGUUUUGGAAUCAUUCGGCGGGUGGGGGGGGAGGGUGGUGGACGAGGAAGAUAGCCCAGAAAAGUGGUUGGAACAAGACUGGGAAGGAAUUUGAAUGUGACAUCAUUCAGGAGCAAGUCCUUUAUUCUAUCAACAGUAGAGAGGCCUGGAAGGUUUUACAAGUAGGUACCAGACACAGGCAGAACUGUGUUCUGAUGCAUUAUGGUGUAGACUGGAAGGACCUUAGGAAAUGCGGUUCAUUCAUUUCACAAAAAUGAGCAAGUGCCCACCGUGUACACUAUGCAUCAGGAAGAGAGCAGUAAACAAAUGACCAUCCUGCCUUUCUUUAUGGAUUUUAGGUCUGGUGGGGAGGUAAUAAGAACUAAAUGUAGCGGGGCACCUGGGUGGCUCAGUCGGUUGAGCAUCCAACUUCAGCUCAGGUCAUGAUCUCAUAGUUUGUGGGUUUGAGACCCACAUCGGGCUCUGUACUGACAGCUCAGAGCCUGGAGCCUGCUUUGUUUGCUUUCUGUCUCUCUCUCUCUCUCUCUCUCUCUCUCUCUCUCUCUCUGCCAUUCCCUGCUCACACUCUGUCUCUCUCUCAAAUAAACAUAAAAAUAAAAGAGGACUAAAUGCAGAGGCUGGGUCAGAUUCAGGAAAUAUUUCAGAAGUACCAUCAUAAAGACAGGGAAAGUUCUGCAUGUGGAAAAUGAGAAUGGCUUGCCUUUCUGAUUGUGAGAUAUAAUGGGAAUAUAGUUACUGCAAAGGAUCCUGCCAUGUAGAAAUAAUUUUUAAAUAAUCCAUAUGGAUUAUAUAUAUACAUAUAUACCCUUUAUAGCUUUAAGAGCAUUCCCACAUAAAAUUUCUCACUUGCCCUUAAGUGUUUUACAGAUUGUAAUUAUUAAAUAAUUAUAUGUUGUAAUAUCAUUUGACUCUAUAACCCUUGGCCAAAGUUCUGCAAAAGGAUAGCUGCUUUGGAGCACUGGAAAAACAUCCUAGCAUACGAGGGCAGUUAAAUAGAGAUAAUACGUCCGAGACCACGGCACCAGUCUAGAGAGAAAAGUGUGUGUAGCUGUCUGUAUGUCUUAAUUUCUAAGAAAAUCCAUUCAGAAGGAGUCAGGCAGGGUGAAAGACAAAAUUCUUUUCUUUUUUUAGUUUUUUAACGUUUAUUUAUUUCUGAGAGAGCACGAGGAGGGAGGGGCAGAGAGAGAGAGACACACAGAAUCUGAAGCAGUCUCUAGGCUCUGAGCUGUCAGCACAGAGCCCAAUGUGGGGCUCGAACUCACGAACUGUGAGAUCAUGACCUGAGCUCAAGUCGGUCGCUUAACCGACUGAGCCACCCAGGCGCCCCAGGGCAAAAUUCUUAAAAAUGUACCUGGGUCUCUCAUUUAACACCUGUCACUCUGAUAACGUCAUGUCCCUGUAGCAAACUCCUCUAAAAAAACUGUACUUUCCUGACCAGGACGGUGUGUCAUAUUUAGAGUCUAGAAAAAGGCUGUGGAGCCUUUGCACAGUGGUGCUUAAAUUAAUUCUCCAUGACGUUUCCCAUCUAGCUCACUCCUUUCUGCUGUUUUCAGAAUCAGAUUCCGCACUUAAUCUCUCCCUUGUUUUCAGAUGACAAAAUCUCUCUGUUAGGUUUCAGAAAGCUGGGAUUACAAAAUGUUCUUAUGGGUUUAAGUCCUCUGUGGUGAUUGGAGAACUCAGGAAAGGAUUGGAUGAGAUUUUGGUUUUUGGGUUUUUGGUUUUUUUUUUUUUUUGGUGGGGAAGGGGCAGUCAGUGGACUGAAUAGGGGAUUCCUUUGUGGAAAUCUGCCUUUGGACCCAAAUGUUCAUCACUUAAGAGGAUUCCAAGAUUUUUAAAAUAAAAUGAAAAGAGAUGUGGGUUACAGGCAUAUAUGCAUGUGCCAAAACCGCACUGUGCAUGGAAGACUGCUCCGUGUACACAUUAUAACUCAAUAAAAAGACAAAUCAGACAAGCAAGACAGGCAGAGCAAAAAUAAUACCGACAAAUAGAGCCAACUACUGGACUGUCUUAGGGAUGUGAGUUAUGAUUUUUCAAAAUAAUAGCAGCUAAACUCAGUCAGUAAGAGCCUCUGACGUGAGGCCAAGGUUGUCACGAGCUGAUUCCUAUGUAGGCCAUUUGCUCGCCACGGUUUUGUGGGGGCAGUUGGUACCACUCAUCCUACCAGCAAGUUCUGUAUUUGUUUCCUGGUUUCAAGGGCAAAGGAGAGAGAAAGUAUAGAGCAGGGAAAUUCGGUCCCCUAUGGAUGACUGGUGAGGAGUUACCAUCUUUUUUGUUAGUAUUAUUGAAGUACAGUUACACCCUAUGUUACAGUAGUUUCAGGUGUACAACGUAGGGAUUUGACAACUCUAUACGUUAUGCGGAGCUCAUCACCCGUGUAGCUGCCAUCUGUCACCAGACAAUGUCAUUACAGUACCAUUGUACUGUAUUCCCUGUGCUGUGACUUAAUUCAUUCCACAACUGGUUACCAUCUUCUUCUAAGAACAGCAUAUCGGAUCUCCAAAUGUUAGAACAUAACAUCACCAUCAGUCUCAUUCAGAAUGCUCCUCGCUUUCCUUCUUUUUUUUUUUUUUAAUGUUUGAGAGAGAGAGAGAGAGAGAGAGUGAGCGCGAGUUGGGGAGGGAAACACAGAAUGUGAAACAGGCUCCAGCCUCUGAGCUGUCAGCACAGAGCCUGACGCGGGGCUCGAACCCACAGACCGUUGGAUCAUGACCUGAGCUGAAGUCGGACGCUCAACCGACUGAGCCACCCAGGCGCCCCUCACUUUCCUUCCUUAAUCCAGAGCAGUUCUUAGCCUCUCUGAGAUCUUGAUUGGAAGCAGGAGUGAUCACUCCGCACUCCCACCCUCAAUGCCUUACUCCUUUAAUACAAUACCACACACCCCUAUACUCAAUUGGUGGAGAUAUAUACCAUCAGUAUACAACACACUGGAAGUUACCAUUACAUCCAUGCAGUUUCCAUUAGCUGAAAUGCAACCCGUGUUCGGGUGACCUAACAACACUCCAGCCACAUGGCCUCCUUUAUUAUCUGUCUCUCCCACUAGACUGUAUGUUCCAUGAAAGCAGAGACAGGCCUGAUUUCGUCACUCCGGGAUAUCCAGCACUUAGCACAGGAACUGCCACAUUACAGGUGUUCACCUAAUACUUAGUGAAGGAGUAACAAAUCAAAAGAAGCAAAGCAUUGCUGUUUUUAUAGAGAUGAGUCUCCUGUGCUUGGACUCAGCGGAGGGGGUGGAAAUGGAAUUGAAAGAUGAUUCUGCAUGGUUUGGUUUUCCCUUUCAGACAGAUCAUUUCUGUUGUUCGUAUAUAGAACCUGGGUCCUGAGUGACCAGCCAGCACAAAAGUACAUGUGACCUUUAAGGACCCGGCAUGUUUUUGCCACAGGCAGGAGGGUUCUAUGUUUUAAUUGCCUGGAGGUUUCAUCCAAAAUCAGAGUCGGCCAACAGUGCAGUCUGUGAGCAGGGCGGUUACAUCUGUGGCACUUGGAAUUGUGCCCGGUCCCACACCGAGCAGACCUCCCCGGACCGCAAGGUUGGAAACAAUGUGGGUUCAGCAAAGAAAGCUCACCUUGCUGCGGGGAAUGGCCGGGCUACUCAUAAAAUUACCUGAAGUAAGACCCUCUCAACAGACUUAAGUAUGAGCAGAGGGAUGGGAGGCACUGGGAGCUCACAGAUGGAACUAUUUACCAACUCAUGUGGAAGUAUUUCGGUAUUUUAACAAUUGAAAGGCACCACCAGCACCCAUCAGCUGAUUUCUGGUCCUGAGCAUCAGCAGAACCAUCCCCACCGCAGGAUGUCUGAGAAGCCGCCUGCCUUCUCGGAAGCUGCCGUUUCCCAGUUUGCAGAUGAGAUGUACAGGCAACAUCUUUGCCCGGACAUCUAAACAUCGCGGUUCUGGCCGGCAGGACCUUGACGGGAGGCCCCUCGCCUUACAGAGUUCUGAGAUAAUUUUCCUUUAGCGAGGCUGACAUCACUGACCUAAAGGUGGGUUCUAGGCAACUGCCCUAUCUGGAGAACAAUCAUUCCUGCUGGUAAAUGAGUCACUGGGAGAGAGAGAAAUUGAGACACCUUAUGAAGCAGAGCUCUGCUCCCCCAGAACUGACACAGCCCCGUCCUGUCCCCGGGCUAUGUGUAACCCAGCAACAAAGAUGUAUACCGGGACCAGGCUGGAUGAGGAAGGUCUGGAGCUAAAACCCCAAAGACGCUCAGCCUUUAAUGGAGAAGGGCUUUUAGAAAAGAUCUGGCAAAUUCUCUGCCCUUUCAACUUCACUUUCUGUUCUCUUUUUAUCUGCUUUCAGCAUUUCCAAUUAAUCUUGGAAUGAGAGCCCAAGGCAAGAAGCCAGUGGUGCCUGAGGAAUGCUAAAGAGCAAACCGAUCCAGGGAAACAAAUGCCAGCAAGGGACCCCACAGCAAAGAGACAGACACUGUGAGCAUCUCUCCCGUUACCAUGAGGCUUGCGAGGCGUGUGCGCGGGUCUCCGCAUUGGCACCAUCUGCCAAUUCCUCAGGAGGACAGAACAAACCAGCGAGGCAUGAAGAUUAGAUUAUGUAACGCUUGAGGAUUGCUGUUUUCAAAGAGGAAACAAAUGGAACGAAUUGAUUUGCUUGUCAGAGUCAUGUCACUAAAGGAGACCCGUUCCCUCCUCCUCUGAGAGGACCUCAUUAAAGAGGGACACGAUUUCACAGAUUCA
Molecule: long non-coding RNA, 7135 nt
Filed under: Lynx pardinus (Iberian lynx)
Lineage: Eukaryota; Metazoa; Chordata; Mammalia; Carnivora; Felidae
Source: RNAcentral